RNAcentral lists this non-coding RNA (80 nucleotides) under unclassified sequences. RNAcentral describes it as "DUF3800-VII RNA". It matches the Rfam family "DUF3800-VII RNA". The record is from Rfam by way of RNAcentral.
AAAGAACGUCGCCGGAGAAUGCGAGGGUGUUUUCACCAGCAUGGUUUCAUGUGGUAGUCGCACCGGGGGUUCUUUCUUUU